GUAACUUUAGUAGGGAUGAGUGACUGUAUAUUAACAGUGUGUAAAGCUCCUCAGAGGGGAUUCCUGGGUGGCUCAGCGGUUUAGCGCCUGCCUUCGGCCCAGGGCAUGAUCCUGGAGUCCCGGGAUCGAGUCCCACAUCAGGCUCCCUGCAUGGAGCCCGCCUGUGUCUCUGCGUCUCUUUCUCUCUGUGUCUCUCAUGAAUAAAUAAAAUCUUAAAAAAAAAAAAAAAAGCUCCUCAGACAUUCCAUUAGAGGUACCACUAAAAAUGCAAAUCCCAUUAGGUAGACUUGAUUUCGGAGGCUUAAGAUUUUGUAUAGUGAUCUAGUAAUUCUGUAUGAAAUGAAGAAAUUAAUAUUAUGAGAGGGUGGAGAAACUGAUGAGUGGUUGGUUGAGUUGUUUUUUGAAGUAAGGGAGAUGGCAGUGGCUACCCAUAGGGGCAAGAGGAAGCACCUUGGGUAUGCACAGGGAAGAUGCUUUGUACAUAUCUCUGCAAUUCUUGGUAGGUAGAGUACAGUGGUACAGCCUAGUCUGUUUCUGUACUUGGGAAGAAAAUAGGUGUCCCCAUCUGAGAUCGCUUACAGUACUAUAAUGCGUAAAGUGUGACAGGAUCCCUCUUCACAUCUUGACCAGGACAAGACACGUAGCCACCCCCCUUUCUGGCAGGCACAAAUGGAACCAAGAUGACAGAAGAGGGCCUUUCGAAAUGCAACACCAAUAAAGGCUCAAUGAAAGUGCUGCAUAUGCUUGAGAGUCUUUCAUGUACCAUCAUACAUUGUACUUGGGGCCGUGACUACAGAGGGGAUGUUAACGGCUUUCAAGGACCCUUCAGUGGGAAAGAAGAUUGUAUUUAAAAAUUAAAGUGCCAAAGAAUAAAGUGCUAAUGGGAAGGUAUGAAAACAGUUAAGGGAGCAGAGAGGAAUAUACAGCAGCCUCAGGUCCACAAUUUUGCAAAGUUCAGGCUGGAAUGCCAACUCCUAUAAGAUAAAAUUGACCUGACCUGGGUCAAGGACUCAGGCUCAGUUUGUGUGUUCUCUCCAGUUUGAUCACACUUGUGCCUCUGAAC
Molecule: long non-coding RNA, 1063 nt
Filed under: Canis lupus familiaris (dog)
Lineage: Eukaryota; Metazoa; Chordata; Mammalia; Carnivora; Canidae
Description: lncRNA (ENSCAFG00000058139.1, ENSCAFG00805001389.1)
Source: RNAcentral